UUGGGGACCCCUGGCUUAUUCUCAUUCCCAUCAUAAUCAUAACCAACAUCAUGCAUAUAACAAAAUAUUCUUCAUCAUUAUCCUGUCCAGGUUUUAAGAUGUAUGUGAUUUAUCGUCAGGCUACCUUGAUCUUACAAAUGCUCUAAUUGUCGUUUCUGGGAAAUUCACUUAAGUUUCUAUAUGACUGGAAGGAAACGAUUUGGGAAUAACUGGGAAUCCCCCACAGCAGUGUAUAAAUUCAGAGCGUAGCCUACUACUUCGUCAUACAUUUACUGUAAUGACAGGAGCAACCGGCUACAGCAGCAUGAGAACAGAAUUCACCUUUGCUGGAAAUCGCUACCGACAGACAUGCUAAUGAUGUGGGUAGUGUGAAUGAAGAUGCUGCUGAGAAAGUUCCUGUUCCUGGAAUUGAAAUCUGCAAGCUUUCCUGCCUAACCAGCUCUGUGAUUCCCUUGAAUUACUACUGUCUCACCGUUGGUGUGUUCUUUACAUUUACAAGGGUAGUUGGAAGCUUGCAGGCCUCCAACAGUGAAGAUAAUUGUGCCAAGUUUGUUAUUUGUGGACCAGAAGCUGUCAAAAAUGUACUCUUUACCCAUAUGCUACCAAAGUUCUGUACCACACCAAAUACAUAAUGUGAAUCAGUGUAAAAAGUAACAUCUUUUCCCUCGCCCAAUUUACAUGCUUCUGUGAGUGCUACCAAUUCAGCCAGUGGAGAGAGAGAGAGAAAGAAGGGGGGGGGGGCAUAUUUCAGUGUUGUGUGAUCAUCACCAACAGCAUUAGCUGUAACUCUUUUACCAUUAUUCAUGUAGCACGGUUUGUCACCAUAACGCAUUUGGUCGCAAUUUGUCAGGGGUAGGUGGUCUCUAACACCCGUCCAUCUGUCCACUCCUGCUGGACUGUUGCUUCACAGUGAUGAUCGUAAAAGCCUGUUUCAGGAACAUUGUGUUGAAAGAUAUUUAUAGGGCUUUCUUUUCAAAUGAUCUGUUAAAAACGACUUCCCAUUUUGUCCAGCAUGACUGUAGCCUUGGGUGCUUGCAUUGUGUAAUACAGCAGGAAGGCAGAACACACCAAAUUGUGACUCAUUACAGUUGAAGAUGUGGUCUUUAUGGCCAGAAGAACAGCAUGCACCACUCUAAGACAUCCCCUCGGCCAAUGUCUCCAAAAUUGUACUCUAAUUCUCCAAUGUUCCAGGUGCCAGACAAUAGACAUGAACCCCGUCCUUUUAGUUACAUUACCAUUUGAGGGGUCUGCAUAUGCUGUGUUGCAAAUCCCAUGAAAGUUAGUAGGAGGGAUUCCUGAGUCCCAAAGAGUUGACAUGACGAAGCACAUGAUGGAGGAAGUAAACCACCGCUGAAAAGCAGGAGGAGCCUGUUUUUUUUUCAUCUGAACCCAUUAGGGAGAAUUUAUUUGAUUUUUGUGUUAGUGUGGGUGCGGUCUCUCUUCACAUGGCAACUGAUGGUCCACUCCCGGAACUGCCGCAUCUCCCUCCCAGGGGUGUAACAUCGACAUGUGACAGUCUUCCUAUUCUAUUUCUUCUUCUUCUACCUCUCUUUAAAUUUUACCCCUUUCCCAUGGCCAAAAACUCAUAAAAUCUGGCAUGUAUGUCCAAUAUGGCUGCAAAUGCAUUAUGCAUGACACAUAUGCAACUGACACUCUUGUUGGCUCUAUAGCACCACCUGCAGAAUUGCAACAUUGAAAAAAAUUAUUGCAGCUGUCCCAUUUAACAUACGGUACUUCCACCAAAUGUCUUCAGACUAAUUCAUUUUGGAGCUGUCUGUACUAGUGUUAUACAUUUAGUCUGUGUACUCGUUAUCAAUGUAGCUAAUCAAAGUCAGUCAAACUGGUGAAAGUGAAACUCAAAAGUGUCAGUGUAUUUCAUUUGGAUUUCACAAAUAUAAAUUAGUUUUCCGCAAAGAUUAUGCAGUUGCAAAAGAAAUAGUUUAAAUUUUCUUGGCAAUUAUUAGAUAGCAAGCAAGCAAGCCAGUGUACGGAGUUAAAAACUUGCUUGUGUUCGAGGGGGGAUUUGAACCCGUGCCUGCCAGUCAUCAAAAGGCCCCAAAGGCAAAGGAUCAACCCAGUGAGCCUCUAGUGAAGUAGCACCCUGGGCCACAAAUUUGUGUUUUUAAAAUGUGUGCACUUCUAUAUAUGUUCAUUUUGCAUGUGUAUCCAAUGUUUUUAUUGGCUGAUGUUACUGAAUGUCCAAUGGGAAGAUGAAACUUUAAGGACUGGGAGUCUGUGGUCAUUGUGCUUAUUUCUGAGGGAAACCCUGAAAAGUACCAAAUGCUUGGUGCUGUAUAGGUGUGGGGCAUGCCACCCCAUCAAGUUGUAACUCGGCGGAAUGGCUUACCUGCCAUCCCAUUCACAUUUUACGCACUACAGCACCACUUCAAAUUUGCCAUUUUUAAAUAAUUAUCACAGAUGUACUCAGACUUCCAAUAUCUACCAAAGUUGGUAUGGAUGGUAUUUCAAUUAGGUUUGCAGUCCAUAGUAAAGUAUAAAUUGCUACAACACAGUUUGGCUAAACACCAGUCACUUUCGUGAUAGAACUCUGCUCAAACAGACAGCCUGCCUUUUAUCGCUGUCACUCACGUAGCUCGCCCCCCCUCCCACACAGUCGUACUCUGAGGGUAGCUGCAAGCAGGCCAUAAACAAAAGUAGACCAUUGUUGCACAAUUUCAUUUGUGGUUUUUGCAGAAAUCUCAGAAAAAAAAUUAAUUGCACUCAAUGCUCUACAGCUCACCUUCGGUGCUUGGCCCCUGACAUCACUGAUUGCAUACAUAAUACUGCUGUUUUAUUUCUCUUCUAUACAGUGAGCAUUUGUUUUGCCAAGUUGUUUACAGACCUGCUUUGUUUGUGUUUUGGAUGUAACAUGAAGUAGGUCUAUUUAUUGCAUAAUACUAUCUUAGUGCAAUGUCAUCUUGCUAGUAGUCUACAAUUAUUCUGUGAAAAUGCUUAUUUAUUACAGUGGUGUAAACCCUGAAAGUCUGUCUUUCACAUGCUGUAACACGAUCUAACUCUUAAAUUGGUAUGUAGCCCACUUUUGUGUUUUCAAUAAUCUGUAUAAACACAGGGAAUUCUCGACUUACGUUGUGUAAUGUUUUGUAUAUAGAUGAAAAGCCAACUUGGCUUUAUCAGCGAGAGGGUUUUAAUUACCGUGUCGUCUCUAAACAGAAUGUAAAUGUAUGUUAUACCAUCAGCCAGUGUGUAAUUUGUAGAACACGUCAUGGCAUGAUAAAGUGUGUUUGCAAAGGAGUAAUUUUAUCUGUUUCCAGACUGCAACAACUGUGGUUGUGGUUGCCAGCUGCUGUUCUUUUUCCAUUAUUUGUACAGGCCAUUAACGUGUGCUGCUGUUCCCGUGUGUUUUGAUGCGUUUUUGUAGGUUUAACUAGCUGGUAAAUGAGCAACAGUUCUGUUUAUGUUCUAACAUUUUGCAUAUAGUGGGUGUCACCUGGCUAGUUCACAAUUGUUUUGUUUGUUUGUUUGUUUUGCUUUUGUUUGAUAUAUUCUGUUUAUUAUUUUCUUCUUGAAACCAGCUAUAGCAUUUUGUGGGCAGCUAUUUACUGGUACCAUAUAAGCAAUUUUAUUGAGCUCUUGUACUGUGCAUGCUUCCUGUGAGUCUGACUUGACUACCCCUACUAUAAUUGUUAGGUGUUUGGGCUGUAUCUGAAUUUAUAGAGUAUGAAGUGUAUCCUAGUCUAUGAGUGUGGUGCAAACAACUGAUAACGUCAGUGUAUUAAACUCAAUUCCAGUUU
This is a long non-coding RNA of Anguilla anguilla (European eel), 3752 nucleotides long. RefSeq lists it as uncharacterized. Lineage: Eukaryota; Metazoa; Chordata; Actinopteri; Anguilliformes; Anguillidae. The transcript is spliced from 2 exons. The record is from RefSeq and is a predicted model, not a curated record.